GACGAACGCUGGCGGCGUGCUUAACACAUGCAAGUCGAACGGAAAGGCCCUGCUUUUGUGGGGUGCUCGAGUGGCGAACGGGUGAGUAACACGUGAGUAACCUGCCCUUGACUUUGGGAUAACUUCAGGAAACUGGGGCUAAUACCGGAUAUGAGCUCCUGCUGCAUGGUGGGGGUUGGAAAGUUUCGGCGGUUGGGGAUGGACUCGCGGCUUAUCAGCUUGUUGGUGGGGUAGUGGCUUACCAAGGCUUUGACGGGUAGCCGGCCUGAGAGGGUUACCGGCCACAUUGGGACUGAGAUACGGCCCAGACUCCUACGGGAGGCAGUAGUGGGGAAUAUUGCACAAUGGGCGGAAGCCUGAUGCAGCAACGCCGCGUGCGGGAUGACGGCCUUCGGGUUGUGAACAGCUUUCGCCUGUGACGAAGCGUGAGUGACGGUAAUGGGUAAAGAAGCACCGGCUAACUACGUG
This 468-nucleotide ribosomal RNA is filed under the name uncultured bacterium. Its description in RNAcentral is "partial 16S ribosomal RNA". It matches the Rfam family "Bacterial small subunit ribosomal RNA", at positions 28 to 507 of the family's 1533-position model. The record is from RNAcentral.